Molecule: ribosomal RNA, 425 nt
Filed under: uncultured bacterium
Lineage: Bacteria
Description: bacterial SSU rRNA
Rfam family: Bacterial small subunit ribosomal RNA
Source: RNAcentral
GUGGGGAAUCUUAGACAAUGGGGGAAACCCUGAUCUAGCCAUGCCGCGUGAUCGAUGAAGGCCUUAGGGUUGUAAAGAUCUUUCAGGUGGGAAGAUAAUGACUGUACCACCAGAAGAAGCCCCGGCUAACUCCGUGCCAGCAGCCGCGGUAAUACGGAGGGGGCUAGCGUUGUUCGGAAUUACUGGGCGUAAAGCGCACGUAGGCGGAUUGGAAAGUUGGGGGUGAAAUCCCGGGGCUCAACCCCGGAACUGCCUUCAAAACUCCCAGUCUUGAGUUCGAGAGAGGUGAGUGGAAUUCCGAGUGUAGAGGUGAAAUUCGUAGAUAUUCGGAGGAACACCAGUGGCGAAGGCGGCUCACUGGCUCGAUACUGACGCUGAGGUGCGAAAGCGUGGGGAGCAAACAGGAUUAGAUACCCUAGUAGUCC